RNAcentral lists this ribosomal RNA (372 nucleotides) under uncultured organism. Its description in RNAcentral is "bacterial SSU rRNA". It matches the Rfam family "Bacterial small subunit ribosomal RNA", at positions 526 to 896 of the family's 1533-position model. The record is from RNAcentral.
CGUAGGGUCCAAGCGUUAUCCGGAAUCACUGGGCGUAAAGCGUGCGUAGGUGGCGCGUUAAGUGAGAUGUGAAACCGUGUGGCUCAACCAUAUCGUCGCAUCUCAUACUGGCGUGCUAGAGGACAGCGGAGGCAAGUGGAAUUAGUAGUGUAGCAGUGAAAUGCGUAGAUAUUACUAGGAACACCAAUGGCGAAGGCAGCUUGCUGGGCUACUCCUGACACUGAGGUACGAAAGCGUGGGGAGCGAACAGGAUUAGAUACCCUGGUAGUCCACGCCGUAAGCGAUGCAUACUAGUCUUAUGGGGUAUCGACCCCCUGUGAGACGCAGCUAACGCGAUAAGUAUGCCGCCUGGGAAGUACGGCCGCAAGGCUA